AGUGAACGCUGGCGGUAGGCCUAACACAUGCAAGUCGAACGGCAGCACAGUAAGAGCUUGCUCUUACGGGUGGCGAGUGGCGGACGGGUGAGGAAUACAUCGGAAUCUACUUUUUCGUGGGGGAUAACGUAGGGAAACUUACGCUAAUACCGCAUACGACCUACGGGUGAAAGCAGGGGAUCUUCGGACCUUGCGCGAUUGAAUGAGCCGAUGUCGGAUUAGCUAGUUGGCGGGGUAAAGGCCCACCAAGGCGACGAUCCGUAGCUGGUCUGAGAGGAUGAUCGGCCACACUGGAACUGAGACACGGUCCAGACUCCUACGGGAGGCAGCAGUAGGGAAUAUUGCACAAUGGGCGAAAGCCUGACCCAGCAAUGCCGCGGGAGUGAAGAAGGCCUUCGGAUUGUAAACCCCUUUUAUGGGGAAAGAAAAAAAGCGGAAUAAACCCCGGCUGUUCUGACGGUACCCAAAAAGAAAGCCCCGGCUAACUACGUG
This 492-nucleotide ribosomal RNA is filed under the name uncultured bacterium. RNAcentral describes it as "partial 16S ribosomal RNA". It matches the Rfam family "Bacterial small subunit ribosomal RNA", at positions 29 to 507 of the family's 1533-position model. The record is from RNAcentral.